This 253-nucleotide ribosomal RNA is filed under the name uncultured bacterium. RNAcentral describes it as "partial 16S ribosomal RNA". It matches the Rfam family "Bacterial small subunit ribosomal RNA", at positions 524 to 776 of the family's 1533-position model. The record is from RNAcentral.
UACGGAGGGUGCGAGCGUUGUCCGGAAUCACUGGGCGUAAAGGGCGCGUAGGCGGCCUGAUAAGUAGGGGGUGAAAUCCUGCGGCUUAACCGCAGGGCUGCCUUCUAAACUGUCAGGCUAGAGCACAGUAGAGGCAGGUGGAAUUCCCGGUGUAGCGGUGGAAUGCGUAGAUAUCUGGAGGAAUACCGGUGGCGAAGGCGGCAUCCUGGACCGACAUUGACGCUGAACGGCGAAAGCUAGCGGAGCAAACGGG